CCUUUGACAUUUAUGUGAUUAUUAUCAUCCUUAUCACUCCAUGAUUUGUGGAAUUCCUUAUCACUCCAUCAACUCACACAUUUGGUAUCAAGAUGAGGCUGUUGACUGUUAAUAGUGCACAAUGGAGCAAGGAUUCGUGUUUUAGAGGAGCAACGGGUCCCAUCACUGCCUCAGAAUCGGGUUCUUUCAGCCUCAUCUUUAUCGAAAUCAGGAACUUGCAUUUUUAAAUUGAUUGAUCAUGAAUCUGUUAGCUGGAGGAGAGGUGUAGUCUCAGACCCUAUUUGUGGUACCUAUGGUGAAGAGGCUAAAUCCUUCGAGCAUAUUUUCCUCAUUGUUCUACAACGAUAAGGGUUCGGCGUCUGUCGCCCCUGCGUUUGACACUUCCGUUAUUUCUCUAUCUUGGCUUAACUGGUUUGUGCAGUUAAUGGAAUCCCUCCGUCGGGAGUAGCUUCAGUUAGUUCUUAUGAUAGCUUGGGCAUUAUGGCAAUCGAGGAACUCAUGGCUGUAUCAACAAAAAAAGCUUUCUAAUGUUGAGAUUGUACAGUCUGCUUUUAAUUUAUUUCAUGAUUUUCUGUAUAUGUUGGUUUGCCAUAGUAACAGCCAGCCGAUGUUCAGCCGUAGAUUCAAUGUACUAAUUGGUUAUGGCAGCAGCAGCUAGAUGCACAAACCUCACUGUUCCUCCGACUGAAGCAAAAAUUGAAGCAGCCAUCUAUAGCCUCGAACUUGUUGUCGAGUUAAGCUUCACCCGACUACAUUUUGAGACGGACUGCAUGGAAAUCAUAUCUGGCUUAAAAGCACACAACGUUCCUACUAAUGAGUUUGGUACUCGCCUUCUGAUGCUGUGAGUCUUAAUAACUUAGCUCACUCAUUUUGUGUUUAGCCAUGUUAGUACGAAAGGCAACUAUGUUGCUCACUCUCAAGUAAAAGAGGAGCUCAUUUGGGUGGAAGAUAUCCCACCUCACUGUUUGUCUCUAUUAUUAGCUGACUUGUUGCAGUGAUUUAUAAAUUUCAAUGUUCCUUUUUUUUAAAAA
Molecule: long non-coding RNA, 1031 nt
Organism: Jatropha curcas
Lineage: Eukaryota; Viridiplantae; Streptophyta; Magnoliopsida; Malpighiales; Euphorbiaceae
Source: RefSeq, a predicted model, not a curated record